Molecule: ribosomal RNA, 478 nt
Filed under: uncultured bacterium
Lineage: Bacteria
Description: partial 16S ribosomal RNA
Rfam family: Bacterial small subunit ribosomal RNA
Source: RNAcentral
GACGAACGCUGGCGGCAUGCCUAACACAUGCAAGUCGAGCGAGCAGAUCCCUUCGGGGUGAAGCUAGCGGCGGACGGGUGAGUAACACGUGGGCAACCUACCUCAUAGAGGGGAAUAGCCUUCCGAAAGGAAGAUUAAUACCGCAUAAGAUUGUAGCUUCGCAUGAAGCAGCAAUUAAAGGAGCAAUCCGCUAUGAGAUGGGCCCGCGGCGCAUUAGCUAGUGGGUGAGGUAACGGCUCACCAAGGGGACGAUGCGUAGCCGACCUGAGAGGGUGAUCGGCCACAUUGGGACUGAGACACGGCCCAGACUCCUACGGGAGGCAGCAGUGGGGAAUAUUGCACAAUGGGGGAAACCCUGAUGCAGCAAUGCCGCGUGAGUGAUGACGGCCUUCGGGUUGUAAAGCUCUGUCUUCGGGGACGAUAAUGACGGUACCCGAGGAGGAAGCCACGGCUAACUACGUGCCAGCAGCCGCCGUAA